GCAGGCCUAACACAUGCAAGUCGAACGAACUCUUCGGAGUUAGUGGCGGACGGGUGAGUAACACGUGGGAACGUGCCUUUAGGUUCGGAAUAACUCAGGGAAACUUGUGCUAAUACCGAAGGUGCCCUUCGGGGGAAAGAUUUAUCGCCUUUAGAGCGGCCCGCGUCUGAUUAGCUAGUUGGUGAGGUAAAGGCUCACCAAGGCGACGAUCAGUAGCUGGUCUGAGAGGAUGAUCAGCCACAUUGGGACUGAGACACGGCCCAAACUCCUACGGGAGGCAGCAGUGGGGAAUCUUGCGCAAUGGGCGAAAGCCUGACGCAGCCAUGCCGCGUGAAUGAUGAAGGUCUUAGGAUUGUAAAAUUCUUUCACCGGGGACGAUAAUGACGGUACCCGGAGAAGAAGCCCCGGCUAACUUCGUGCCAGCAGCCGCGGUAAUACGAAGGGGGCUAGCGUUGCUCGGAAUUACUGGGCGUAAAGGGAGCGUAGGCGGACAUUUAAGUCAGGGGUGAAAUCCCGGGGCUCAACCUCGGAAUUGCCUUUGAUACUGGGUGUCUUGAGUAUGAGAGAGGUGUGUGGAACUCCGAGUGUAGAGGUGAAAUUCGUAGAUAUUCGGAAGAACACCAGUGGCGAAGGCGACACACUGGCUCAUUACUGACGCUGAGGCUCGAAAGCGUGGGGAGCAAACAGGAUUAGAUACCCUGGUAGUCCACGCCGUAAACGAUGAUUGCUAGUUGUCGGGAUGCAUGCAUUUCGGUGACGCAGCUAACGCAUUAAGCAAUCCGCCUGGGGAGUACGGUCGCAAGAUUAAAACUCAAAGGAAUUGACGGGGGCCCGCACAAGCGGUGGAGCAUGUGG
Molecule: ribosomal RNA, 855 nt
Filed under: Brevundimonas vesicularis
Lineage: Bacteria; Pseudomonadati; Pseudomonadota; Alphaproteobacteria; Caulobacterales; Caulobacteraceae
Description: bacterial SSU rRNA
Rfam family: Bacterial small subunit ribosomal RNA
Source: RNAcentral